This 484-nucleotide ribosomal RNA is filed under the name uncultured bacterium. Its description in RNAcentral is "partial 16S ribosomal RNA". It matches the Rfam family "Bacterial small subunit ribosomal RNA", at positions 30 to 507 of the family's 1533-position model. The record is from RNAcentral.
AUUGAACGCUGGCGGCAGGCCUAACACAUGCAAGUCGAGCGGAUGAAGGGAGCUUGCUCCUGGAUUCAACGGCGGACGGGUGAGUAAUGCCUAGGAAUCUGCCUGGUAGUGGGGGAUAACGUCCGGAAACGGGCGCUAAUACCGCAUACGUCCUGAGGGAGAAAGUGGGGGAUCUUCGGACCUCACGCUAUCAGAUGGGCCUAGGUCGGAUUAGCUAGUUGGUGGGGUAAAGGCCUACCAAGGCGACGAUCCGUAACUGGUCUGAGAGGAUGAUCAGUCACACUGGAACUGAGACACGGUCCAGACUCCUACGGGAGGCAGCAGUGGGGAAUAUUGGACAAUGGGCGAAAGCCUGAUCCAGCCAUGCCGCGUGUGUGAAGAAGGUCUUCGGAUUGUAAAGCACUUUAAGUUGGGAGGAAGGGCAGUAAGUUAAUACCUUGCUGUUUUGACGUUACCAACAGAAUAAGCACCGGCUAACUUCGUG